UCCCUUGCAUCUAAAAGACCACACGAUCUGGCUCGUUUGAUAGUGAUAAAAUCGGGAUGGAGGUAGGGUUCACAAACCUGCUAUCUUUGAAAGCAAGCGGCUAUGACCUCCUGUUCGUGGUGCAUUGGAUCCGGCUGUAAUUUCCAGGUCUUCAAUUUUUUUCUCUAGUUUUCUGCAACAUUAAUUACUACGAUCUUUCACGUCUUGACUACUGCUAAUUUACUCAGUUAUCUAUUUUUUGGUAAUUGUUUUUCUUUUGCAACAUGAGGUUAGAAUUGAGAUUCAAUUUCAAAAUGGUUUUAGAUUUAUGUAAAAGAGAGUAGAUGUCGUAAUUUUAUUGGUAAUGACACAGAUCUACGCAAGUCAAGUCCCCAUUAUUGUACGUUCUCACAACCAGUGAGAAUUCCACAUACACCACAACUGACGAAUGUUGCGAAUUUUGAAGUUUAGAGAAGCGAAUAAAACCGACCUCUGCUUUGCUCGGAGACCCUGAAGGUGAGCUUUGUGGAGCAGGAAGUGAUAAGCCUGAUAAGCCACCGCCUCCUUCAAACUUUGCAAUUCAUUUAAAAGACUUUCCUUGUCAGAGUACUUAUUGAAUUCCAGCUUCCGCACUUUAACCUCGGGCGUUGAUUCUCUCGCAUUCACAGAACAUGUUUCUUCCAUCAGACGCUUUACAGCCGAGUUGGAACCACCUGCAAAGUCUGAGUUAAGAUCAAAUGGACUAGGAGAUUGCCAUCUGUAUCUGCACCCGCAUCGGAGGACAAGGCAUGAAAUAAACUAUUAUCACAAAUAAAUUUGCAGGAAAAUUUGAAACAAACAUGUGAGAGGUAUUCAGAAUGCUGAUGUAUCGUAUACAAUUAACGUCGUUAUACUUACGUCGAGGUCGUAGCAUCAAGUAAAGGGCAUAGCGUUUACUCGGCCGUAAGUCAUGGAAUUGCUGUAUUAGAAGCAAUGCAAAUUAAAGGCGUUUAGUGAAGGGCACUUCCAAGCGGGGCUUAUUUUUGGUACUUUUCUGAGGAAAUACGCAAA
Molecule: long non-coding RNA, 1029 nt
Filed under: Physcomitrium patens
Lineage: Eukaryota; Viridiplantae; Streptophyta; Bryopsida; Funariales; Funariaceae
Description: long non-coding RNA (PPAT_LNC003427)
Source: RNAcentral